GACGAACGCUGGCGGCGUGCUUAACACAUGCAAGUCGAACGGAAAGGCCUGCUUUCCCUUGUGGAUUGCGGGUACUCGAGUGGCGAACGGGUGAGUAACACGUGAGUGAUCUGCCCCCAACUUGGGUAUAAGCCUGGGAAACUGGGUCUAAUUCCCGAUAGGACUGCAGGGUGGUGCCUGUGGUGGAAAACGAUUUUCUAGUGGUUGGGGAUGAGCUCGCGGCCUAUCAGCUUGUUGGUGGGGUAAUGGCCUACCAAGGCGGCGACGGGUAGCCGGCCUGAGGGGGUGGACGGCCACAUUGGGACUGCGAUACGGCCCAGACUCCUACGGGAGGCAGCAGUGGGGAAUAUUGCACAAUGGGCGGAAGCCUGAUGCAGCGACGCCGCGUGGGGGAUGACGGCCUUCGGGUUGUAAACUCCUUUCGACCGCGAGGAAGCCACCUGGUUGGAAGGGUGGUGACGGUAGUGGUAGAAGAAGCACCGGCUAACUACGUG
RNAcentral lists this ribosomal RNA (494 nucleotides) under uncultured bacterium. RNAcentral describes it as "partial 16S ribosomal RNA". It matches the Rfam family "Bacterial small subunit ribosomal RNA", at positions 28 to 507 of the family's 1533-position model. The record is from RNAcentral.